Molecule: transfer RNA, 73 nt
Filed under: Cordylochernes scorpioides
Lineage: Eukaryota; Metazoa; Arthropoda; Arachnida; Pseudoscorpiones; Chernetidae
Description: tRNA-Val
Rfam family: tRNA
About the family: Transfer RNA (tRNA) molecules are approximately 80 nucleotides in length. Their secondary structure includes four short double-helical elements and three loops (D, anti-codon, and T loops).
Source: RNAcentral
GGUUUCGUGGUGUAGUGGUUAUCACGUUCGCUUUACACGCGAAAGGUCCCCGGUUCGAUCCCGGGCGGAACCA